AUUGAACGCUGGCGGCAGGCCUAACACAUGCAAGUCGAACGAGUGGCGGACGGGUGAGUAAUGCUUGGGAAUCUGGCUGAUGGAGGGGGAUAACUACGGGAAACUGUAGCUAAUACCGCGUACCAUAGGAUGAGCCCAAGUGGGAUUAGGUAGUGGGUGGGGUAAAGGCUCACCAAGCCGACGAUCUCUAGCUGGUCUGAGAGGAUGACCAGCCACACUGGGACUGAGACACGGCCCAGACUCCUACGGGAGGCAGCAGUGGGGAAUAUUGCACAAUGGGGGCAACCCUGACGCAGCCAUGCCGCGUGUAUGAAGAAGGCCUUCGGGUUGUAAAGUACUUUCAGUCGGGAGGCGUUACCGACAGAAGAAGCACCGGCUAACUCCGUGCCAGCAGCCGCGGUAAUAC
RNAcentral lists this ribosomal RNA (406 nucleotides) under uncultured bacterium. RNAcentral's name for it is "partial 16S ribosomal RNA". It matches the Rfam family "Bacterial small subunit ribosomal RNA", at positions 30 to 526 of the family's 1533-position model. The record is from RNAcentral.